RNAcentral lists this ribosomal RNA (1164 nucleotides) under Nostoc sp. EM3-VF4. RNAcentral describes it as "bacterial SSU rRNA". It matches the Rfam family "Bacterial small subunit ribosomal RNA", at positions 356 to 1532 of the family's 1533-position model. Lineage: Bacteria; Bacillati; Cyanobacteriota; Cyanophyceae; Nostocales; Nostocaceae. The record is from RNAcentral.
GGGGAAUUUUCCGCAAUGGGCGAAAGCCUGACGGAGCAAUACCGCGUGAGGGAGGAAGGCUCUUGGGUCGUAAACCUCUUUUCUCAGGGAAGAACACAAUGACGGUACCUGAGGAAUAAGCAUCGGCUAACUCCGUGCCAGCAGCCGCGGUAAUACGGAGGAUGCAAGCGUUAUCCGGAAUGAUUGGGCGUAAAGCGUCCGCAGGUGGCGAUGUAAGUCUGCUGUUAAAGAGUGAGGCUCAACCUCAUAAGAGCAGUGGAAACUACAUAGCUAGAGUACGUUCGGGGCAGAGGGAAUUCCUGGUGUAGCGGUGAAAUGCGUAGAGAUCAGGAAGAACACCAAUGGCGAAGGCGCUCUGCUAGGCCGUAACUGACACUGAGGGACGAAAGCUAAGGGAGCGAAUGGGAUUAGAUACCCCAGUAGUCCUAGCCGUAAACGAUGGAUACUAGGCGUGGCUUGUAUCGACCCGAGCCGUGCCGUAGCUAACGCGUUAAGUAUCCCGCCUGGGGAGUACGCCGGCAACGGUGAAACUCAAAGGAAUUGACGGGGGCCCGCACAAGCGGUGGAGUAUGUGGUUUAAUUCGAUGCAACGCGAAGAACCUUACCAAGGCUUGACAUGUCGCGAAUCUUCUUGAAAGAGAAGAGUGCCUUCGGGAGCGCGAACACAGGUGGUGCAUGGCUGUCGUCAGCUCGUGUCGUGAGAUGUUGGGUUAAGUCCCGCAACGAGCGCAACCCUCGUUUUUAGUUGCCAGCAUUAAGUUGGGCACUCUAGAGAGACUGCCGGUGACAAACCGGAGGAAGGUGGGGAUGACGUCAAGUCAGCAUGCCCCUUACGCCUUGGGCUACACACGUACUACAAUGCUCCGGACAGAGGGCAGCAAGCCAGCGAUGGCAAGCAAAUCCCGUAAACCGGAGCUCAGUUCAGAUCGCAGGCUGCAACUCGCCUGCGUGAAGGAGGAAUCGCUAGUAAUUGCAGGUCAGCAUACUGCAGUGAAUUCGUUCCCGGGCCUUGUACACACCGGCCCGUCACACCAUGGAAGCUGGUAGUGCCCGAAGUCAUUACUCCAACCAUUCGUGGAGGAGGAUGCCUAAGGCAGGACUGGUGACUGGGGUGAAGUCGUAACAAGGUAGCCGUACCGGAAGGUGUGGCUGGAUCACCUCCUU